This 357-nucleotide ribosomal RNA is filed under the name uncultured Aquimarina sp. RNAcentral's name for it is "bacterial SSU rRNA". It matches the Rfam family "Bacterial small subunit ribosomal RNA", at positions 368 to 725 of the family's 1533-position model. The record is from RNAcentral. Lineage: Bacteria; Pseudomonadati; Bacteroidota; Flavobacteriia; Flavobacteriales; Flavobacteriaceae.
GGAGUAGGCAGCUGAUCCAGCCAUGCCGCGUGUAGGAAGACUGCCCUAUGGGUUGUAAACUACUUUUAUAGAGGAAGAAACAGUAUUACGUGUAAUACUCUGACGGUACUCUACGAAUAAGGAUCGGCUAACUCCGUGCCAGCAGCCGCGGUAAUACGGAGGAUCCAAGCGUUAUCCGGAAUCAUUGGGUUUAAAGGGUCCGUAGGCGGGUUUGUAAGUCAGUGGUGAAAGUUUUCGGCUCAACCGGAAAAUUGCCAUUGAUACUGCAAGUCUUGAAUUAUUGUGAAGUGGUUAGAAUAGUGUAGUGUAGCGGUGAAAUGCAUAGAUAUUACAUAGAAUACCGAUUGCGAAGGCAGA